CCUACGGGUGGCUGCAGUCGAGAAUUUUUCACAAUGGGGGAAACCCUGAUGGAGCGACGCCGCGUGGGGGAUGAAGGGCUUCGGCUCGUAAACCCCUGUCAUUCGCGAAUAAUUGCCGCGUUCUAACACAACUCGGUUUGAUAGUAGCGGAAGAGGAAGGGACGGCUAACUCUGUGCCAGCAGCCGCGGUAAUACAGAGGUCCCAAGCGUUGUUCGGAUUUACUGGGCGUAAAGGGUGCGUAGGCGGCACGGAAAGUUCGGGGUGAAAUCUCCAG
Molecule: ribosomal RNA, 275 nt
Filed under: uncultured bacterium
Lineage: Bacteria
Description: partial 16S ribosomal RNA
Rfam family: Bacterial small subunit ribosomal RNA
Source: RNAcentral